RNAcentral lists this small nuclear RNA (190 nucleotides) under Castor canadensis (American beaver). RNAcentral describes it as "U2 spliceosomal RNA (ENSCCNG00000007583.1)". It matches the Rfam family "U2 spliceosomal RNA". Rfam says of the family: U2 is a small nuclear RNA (snRNA) component of the spliceosome (involved in pre-mRNA splicing). Complementary binding between U2 snRNA (in an area lying towards the 5' end but 3' to hairpin I) and the branchpoint sequence (BPS) of the intron results the bulging out of an unpaired adenosine, on the BPS, which initiates a nucleophilic attack at the intronic 5' splice site, thus starting the first of two transesterification reactions that mediate splicing. The record is from Rfam by way of RNAcentral. Lineage: Eukaryota; Metazoa; Chordata; Mammalia; Rodentia; Castoridae.
AUUGCUUCUCGGCCUUUUGGCUAAGAUCAAGUGUAGUACCUGUUCUUAUCAGUUUAAUAUCGGAUACGUCCUCUAUCCGAGGACAAUAUAUUAAGUGGAUUUUUGGAACAGGGAGAUGGAAUGGGGCUUGCUACGUCCACUCCACACAUCGACCUGGUAUUGCUGUACCUCCGGGAACGGUGCACCACCU